Molecule: ribosomal RNA, 315 nt
Filed under: uncultured bacterium
Lineage: Bacteria
Description: bacterial SSU rRNA
Rfam family: Bacterial small subunit ribosomal RNA
Source: RNAcentral
GAUGAACGCUAGCUACAGGCUUAACACAUGCAAGUCGAGGGGCAGCAUGGUCUUAGCUUGCUAAGGCCGAUGGCGACCGGCGCACGGGUGAGUAACACGUAUCCAACCUGCCGUCUACUCUUGGACAGCCUUCUGAAAGGAAGAUUAAUACAAGAUGGCAUCAUGAGUCCGCAUGUUCACAUGAUUAAAGGUAUUCCGGUAGACGAUGGGGAUGCGUUCCAUUAGAUAGUAGGCGGGGUAACGGCCCACCUAGUCGUCGAUGGAUAGGGGGUCUGAGAGGAAGGUCCGCCACAUUGGAACUGAGACACGGUCCAA